Molecule: ribosomal RNA, 382 nt
Filed under: Adelophryne sp. 6 AF-2012
Lineage: Eukaryota; Metazoa; Chordata; Amphibia; Anura; Eleutherodactylidae
Description: partial 16S ribosomal RNA
Rfam family: Bacterial large subunit ribosomal RNA
Source: RNAcentral
AUUUGUUUUUUAAUUAAAGACCUGUAUGAAAGACCACACGAGAAUCACACUGUCUCCUUUCUUCAAUCAGUGAAACUAAUCUCCUCGUGCAAAAGCGAGAAUAACCUUAUAAGACGAAAAGACCCUGUGGAGCUUCAAACACCCAACACCUGUUGAAAUAACCCCUAUUUCUACCCUCCUAUAACAGUCUGAUUGUGAGUUUUCGGUUGGGGUGACCAUGGGGAAAAAAUAAACCCCCAAGAUGAACCAGAAUUUUCUUUAAUUUAGAGCCACAACUCUACAUAUCAGAACACUGACAUAAAUUGACCCUUCUUGAUCAACGAACCAAGUUACCCCAGGGAUAACAGCGCAAUCUACUUUAAGAGCACGUAUCGACAAGUAG